RNAcentral lists this transfer RNA (155 nucleotides) under Iranian almond phytoplasma PA62. RNAcentral describes it as "partial 16S-23S ribosomal RNA intergenic spacer". The stretch from base 80 to 153 matches the Rfam family "tRNA". Lineage: Bacteria; Bacillati; Mycoplasmatota; Mollicutes; Acholeplasmatales; Acholeplasmataceae. The record is from RNAcentral.
CUAAGGAAACCAAUAAAAUCAAUCAUCUUCAGUUUUGAAAGACUUAGGAUAACUAAGUUUUUCUUCGUGACUUCACGAAGGGCCUAUAGCUCAGUUGGUUAGAGCACACGCCUGAUAAGCGUGAGGUCGGUGGUUCGAGUCCAUUUAGGCCCACC